Molecule: long non-coding RNA, 678 nt
Organism: Dreissena polymorpha
Lineage: Eukaryota; Metazoa; Mollusca; Bivalvia; Myida; Dreissenidae
Exons: 3
Source: RefSeq, a predicted model, not a curated record
GGAUAACUUUAGUAUGCAUGGAAUUAUUGUGCAUUAAUUCUGUUUGUAAGUAGCUUACAUGAAGACCUAGGGAGAGAUUGCAUUAUAGACCAUUAGGGUACAGGACUCCAGACUGAAACCAGCUGUUUAGGGCCUGAACAGUGUACAACACUUGGACCAAAAGCCUCAGAAUGAGUUGGUGAAGCCUCAGAAUGAUCUGGUGAAUAUGGACACAAAGCCACUGCUGGUUGGAAAUCAGAAUAACUUGUACAGUUUUCAUGACAACCAAAAGGUGAGCAUGCUUUCUACCAAAACUUUUUGCUUGAAUGAUUCGUCUAACAAUUACACGACUUUGAUUUGGAAAUAGAAAUCGGUGUACAAUGCUAAACAUGUUUGUACAGGCUUUCUAUUGACAACAACUGGUUAUAACUAAAGGGGACAACUAAUAUGCUUUACGAAGAGGAGCUGUGUUUACUAACAGAAUGGUCCGCUUCAAUAACAAAACACACCACAAAUGUUGUAUUUUUCAGUCAUGGACAUGGUUGUAACUGUAUUUGUUGGAAUAAUGUCAAAACUAUUCUCAUUUCUACUAUAAGAUAAAACUAAUUCAAAAAAUCAAACGUUCUUUGAAUUGCUGUUUGUAUGUGUUUUUUUCUAAUCUACUUCAGUCAAUAACAUAAUAGCAGUAUAUAAGUACAU